GGUUUGGCUGGCUGGUGCUCGCAUCUCGUGUUGUGAUCGUUGAUGUCAAAUCCUCUUCCCACAAAGUCAGCUUGCCACUUAUUGCAAUCUACCCUCCUCCAUCGCAGCCAGACAUCAGAUUUCAUCGACUUUAUCUCUGUUCCCCCCUCUGUCAAAAUGUUGUGCGAGAAUGCAUAUUCAGGAUCAGUGUCCCGGUACGCCUCAUCUCGCACUAAAAGGGGACCAUGAGUGUGUGUUGCCUUGGGAAUAAUGGCAAAAAGACACCAGAAGAUUGCAUUGUAGGAGUCCAUUGGCAACACUGAAGAUCAAAUAAAAAGGCAGCAAAUAUUACGGAAAAAAUUACAGCUGCAGAAUUCCAUAGAAGGGUAGGAGGCUGCGAAAGGAAACCCUAGUGCUCUGCCGAACUCUACUUCGAGCGGUGACAGCCACCACGAUGAGCUAGCUUGUCCGGCUACGGCUCUGCCAGUUUCAUCAUGUUCCUCAACAAGCUUGCUGACAUCAAAGGUAUUUCUGUGAAAUCAUCCUAGCGAUGAUCACUGUAGAGAUUAUAUGAUCUUGUUGUUUCUCUGUCCUCCCAAGUUCAUAUAUAUCUCCCCUCGAAAUCCCUUUUCAUAUCUAUGAUCUCUGUUUUUAUUGUUGAUUACCAAUUACUUUUCUAGAACUGAUAAUACCAAGGGAAGAUGACGUUGCUUAGUUGUUGUGCUGGUGCCUGAUGGACAUCUCGGCAGGAUGUAAUAGUUGUUGUACUGUUGGCAGGCUUCUUGACUCUCAACCCCAUUCUUGAAAGGUGGGCUCUUAGGGAGUGGCUUGUGUUAUAAGGGCCCAACUAAGAAGUUUAAUUAAUUCGGAAGAUUGGGAAGUUGCAUGUCCAUUUUCUUUGUUAAUGUGUUCCUUGAAGAGUAUACCCUUUGAUAUUUAGCAACCAGAUUGUCACUUUUGUAAGAAGUUUGAACUUCUUAUUGUCUAUUUGUUUAAAUGCGUGAGUCGCCUAAAAGAUUAUCUGACAUCCAGUUUUGUUCGGGUGAAUGUCAUGCUUGUGUACAGUAAACAUUGUUGGUUUAAUUUAACAGCUAGGCCAUGGACAUAAUUAGCGUAGAUGCCAUUAACUAGGAUGUUCAAGCCAUUCGAUGAGCUCACUGUUGACAGCAAGGUUAUCUUCUGCUUUCAAAGUCAAUCUUCAUGUAUCUAUAAUCAGCUCUUGUUGGACACACUUAUUCUGUGAUGCUACAUUUGCAGAAUAUUUUAAUGUUUACUGAUUUUGAGAAUUCCAUUGAAUCUUGUAAACUUUUCACAGAAUUCAGGCUCCAAAUAUUAUCAGGCAAUAAUAGCAAACGUGAACUACAAAAGGUAAGACAAGAAACUCAUUUACUGAUGUGAGCUACUCUGUAUCGGUUGAAGGUUAAUUUUACUUAGCUUUGUUCGAUGGCAUGUGACGUUUAAAUGUAAAAAGACUUAAAAUUCAGUUGACUAUAUUUAAGAACUGCAAUAAAGAAGUGUCUGAUCGUCUCGGUUAAGCUAGGUAACUUCAUAUUUUUCAACUUUAUGCUUCAAAUCAGAUUUCAUCCUUGAAAUUAUCUCUACACUUUAUUAAGCGAACUACAUCAUUGAAUUGCCUGAUUUAGAAUUCGAACUAAGAUCCUUUGUUGUUCAGGUUCCACUCUUUAAUUACCAUCGGUAAAAAAAGAAAUUGACUGAGGUUUUAGGAAUUCAUUUUUCUCUUUUCCUGUCAUUUUUUUCUAUUAUGUAAAACACGCCAGUUGAAUUUAACCCCAAAGUACACUGCUUAUAUAAAUGGGACAUCAUCUGUAUAUUUUAUGUUGUCAUUUCAACUUUAACUUUGAGGGUUUCUGAUGUGUAGUCAAUACGAAGUGUUCAUGAAACUGACAUUUAGCAUGGCAUCAUGAUCUCAUCUUAUGUGGUUAUUGUUCCCUUCAGGUGUUAAAAGAUAGACUAUGAAAUUGUAUUGUUUCAUAAAAGUAUCUACUAAUAUCAACGUCCAUUUCAUGUAAUUAAAAUUUAAAGUUAAUUUACAUCCUUAUCUUUCAACUGUUUGCUUCCGAAGCUUUUGCCAUGACACAGAAAGAAUACCCAAGACACCAAAGCAGGGCAUUAUACAUAAGAAUAGUAAAGCUUUGUUGAAAGUGUUAGCAUACUACUAUGCUUCAUAUCCGAUUAUUUUUCUGCCUACGAAAUAUUUCUUUAUUAGUUUAGCUUCAUAUUUGAGGCACUGUAAACAUAUUUAUUACAUUGAGCAUUAGUCUAUUUGAUAAAUAUAUGUGCAUUGCCAAUUCUAGCAGAUAUAUCUAUCAGUCUAAUUCUAUAAUGGAUGGGUGUACGUUGCCUUGAUAUUCUAUUUCACGACCACAUUAUCAAAACCUUGCUAGAACUUAACCUUGGUUUCUAAUUUCUAGAGUGACUUGACAUUCUUGUAUUUCAUCUAUAUAAUUUGUUGAUGAUACUCUUUAUUGUAAAAUACCUUCACCACUUGUACAUGAAGAGUUGGGUUGUAAAGCUAAUGGUCUAUUGGACAAGUAAGAGAUGUUUCAUACCGUUUGAGUACGCAGUUUCUCAUGCUAUAGCCUUACAUGAUUGCAUGUUAUUGCUUCCUGCUUUUCAAAUGUUAUUUGGGGGACAGCCCAUUAUGCUUUGUGACCUUUGUCUACAUUAUAUAUCAGGUGGGAACUUGGUACUUUAGGGACUAAUCAGAUAGUAUCUUUUCAUGUAUGCACUGCACUCAUCUUGAUUAUUGUUACAAACAUGGCUAACCUAACAGUAUGUAUAGUCUAAGGAGAAUAAAUUAUUGUUCACUAAUAUCUCUUUGUAGAUAAAUACACAUAUCACCUCACUUAUUUCAACUGUGAGAUCAUUACACAAGUCCAUAAAAUCUGAGACCAAUAUCACCCAAGAGUCUUACGUGCCUAUACUUGAAAAUCAUUUUUUCCCGUAUCAUCAUGUGACAUGAUUUUGAGUUAUAUAGACUAGCCGCAUGGUCGUGCCUUGAUUCCUUGGUGCUAUUGUCCCAUUAUUUAAUUAUUCUUGUGUUAGUGAUUACUUAUUUUGAAUAAGGAGGCAAUAACCCCAGCCCCAUCUUGGUAAUACAACUCAUGAACUGAAUGAAAAAAAAAACAAUUAUGCAGUUUGCCUUUACCUUUGGAUUAUGCAACCAUGUUCUUUAAUUCAAACUUUUAUUGAUUUUGUUUUUGCCAUCUAUAAACAUGCAAUUGUUUCACCUAAUGGCAGAACUUCACACUUUUUUUAUUUCUAUGCUCCAUGCCGGUUUUUGUACUCAUGUUAUUUGUACCAUCCAUCAUGCUUAGCCUCCUUUGUUGUUGUUACAUUUAUUUGCUUUAUGUUAUUGCAGGUUAAUAAAGGCAAUGCUCAUGGCUAGCUGAAAAAGGAGUGGCGUGGUUCUGGUGAUAAUAAACUUGUUUUAUCUCAUCAGAUGGAACACAAUGGUUAUUGUUAGCAUGCCUCCAUGUUUCGAAUAGUUUAGACAACGCAAGUAUGCAUACAUGAUCCGGACUUGUGUAAGCACUUUCUUUGCCAUUGUUUAUCGUUUUUCAUCUCAUUUUGAAAUGUGUAUUAUAUCAUCAUUUCCUUAACUCGAUGGUACGAUUAAUGCUAUAAAUAACAAUAUCUGUAGACCCAGUGACAAGACAUGUUCAUAAUUGAGAUAGUCAACUAUUCAUUCUUUA
Non-coding RNA from Lolium perenne, 3695 nucleotides. The record is from RefSeq and is a predicted model, not a curated record. NCBI's taxonomy places the organism in Eukaryota, Viridiplantae, Streptophyta, Magnoliopsida, Poales, Poaceae.